This 612-nucleotide ribosomal RNA is filed under the name Naganishia albidosimilis. Its description in RNAcentral is "eukaryotic LSU rRNA". It matches the Rfam family "Eukaryotic large subunit ribosomal RNA", at positions 47 to 663 of the family's 3401-position model. The record is from RNAcentral. Lineage: Eukaryota; Fungi; Basidiomycota; Tremellomycetes; Filobasidiales; Filobasidiaceae.
UAAGCGGAGGAAAAGGAACUAACAAGGAUUCCCCUAGUAACGGCGAGUGAAGCGGGAAGAGCUCAAAUUUGAAAUCUGGUAGCCUUCGGUUGCCCGAGUUGUAAUCUAGAGAAAUGUUUUCCGUGCCGGCCCAUGUACAAGUCCCUUGGAACAGGGCGUCAUAGAGGGUGAGAAUCCCGUCCUUGACAUGGACCCCCGGUGCUUUGUGAUACAUUUUCAACGAGUCGAGUUGUUUGGGAAUGCAGCUCAAAAUGGGUGGUGAAUUCCAUCUAAAGCUAAAUAUUGGCGAGAGACCGAUAGCGAACAAGUACCGUGAGGGAAAGAUGAAAAGCACUUUGGAAAGAGAGUUAAACAGUACGUGAAAUUGUUGAAAGGGAAACGAUUGAAGUCAGUCAUGCUCUUUGGUAUUUAUAUCAUUGAGUGGGGUCAACAUCAGUUUUGAUCGAUGGAUAAAGGCACUAGGAAGGUAGCACUCUCGGGUGAACUUAUAGCCUAGCGUCAUAUACAUUGAUUGGGACUGAGGAACGCAGCAUGCCUUUAUGGCCGGGAUUCGUCCACGUACAUGCUUAGGAUGUUGACAUAAUGGCUUUAAACGACCCGUCUUGAAACACG